AUUGGUGUAAUGGCUGGCUGAUCACCAGACAAAGCUAUUGUGGAAAGAUUCUUCUAUGUGGAAAGAUUCUGAAUUGUGUGACUCACCCCAUCCCUCAAAUUCAUCUAUUGAAACCCUAAUCCUCAAUGUUACUAUACUUGGAUAUUGGGCAUAUAAGGAGCCAUGGGAAGAUGCAGUGAGAAGGUACCCAUCUACAAGCCAGGAAGAGAGUUCUCAGCAGGAACCAAAUCAGCCGGUACCUUGACCUUGACUUGCCAGCCUCCAGAACUGUGAGAAAAUAAAUCUCCAUCCACACCAUACGCAAGAAAUAAACUCAAAAUGGAUGAAAGAUCUAAAUGUGAGACAUGAAACCAUUGAAGUCCUGGAGGAGAACACAAGCAGUCACGUCUUUGACAUUCGGCCGUUGCCACUUCUUACUAAAUAUUUCUCCUGAGGCAAGAGAAACAAAAGCAAAAUUAAACUGUUGGGACUUCAGAGACGCUUUCUUGGAUCACUCUGUCUAAAUACCACUCAUCUGCAGUACUCUGUGCAGCAUGUAUCACCAACUGAUCAUACUCACAGUUUAGCUUUUCCUUUAAUUGUCAGUUUCUUUCAUUAAAAUGUAUGAUUUUCGAGGGCAGGUGUUUUGUCUUGUCCACUGCUGUAUUCCCAAUGCUUAGAAAAAUGCCUGCACAUGGUAGGUGUUCAAUUAAUAUUCAUUGAAUGAAUGGAUUCAUUCAAUACAGUUUUCUUAGACAUGACUAAAAGAUAAUUUAUACUCAAAAGAAAGGAAAACAUUCUUACCAAUGAAAUUCUUUUCAGAAUUUGAAAACUUCAGCUAAUAAGGACUAAGGGGUAUGCUAAGAUUUGUUGCAUCCAUUCACCAAAAAAACCAGAGCCUUCUGUUUCUGUCUUUACCCCCUUUAACUUUAGGAGGUCAGACCAAGUUCCAUCAGCUAGAUACUACUGACGAUGAUGAUGAUAAUGAUUGUAUCAACCACAUCUAACAUUUAGUGCAUGUUUCAUGGGCACCAGGAAUUUUCCUAGGUGCAUUUUUAAUGUAUCAUCUAAUUUAAUCUUCACAUCAAGGUUUUUUUUUUUUAAGAUUUUAUUUAUUUAUU
Molecule: long non-coding RNA, 1100 nt
Organism: Mustela erminea (ermine)
Lineage: Eukaryota; Metazoa; Chordata; Mammalia; Carnivora; Mustelidae
Exons: 3
Source: RefSeq, a predicted model, not a curated record